Molecule: ribosomal RNA, 433 nt
Filed under: uncultured bacterium
Lineage: Bacteria
Description: partial 16S ribosomal RNA
Rfam family: Bacterial small subunit ribosomal RNA
Source: RNAcentral
AACGAACGCUGGCGGCAUGCCUAACACAUGCAAGUCGAACGAGACCUUCGGGUCUAGUGGCGCACGGGUGCGUAACGCGUGGGAACCUGCCCUUAGGUUCGGAAUAACUCCCCGAAAGGGGUGCUAAUACCGGAUAAUGUCUUCGGACCAAAGAUUUAUCGCCUUUGGAUGGGCCCGAGUUGGAUUAGCUAGUUGGUAGGGUAAAAGCCUACCAAGGCGACGAUCCAUAGCUGGUCUGAGAGGAUGAUCAGCCACACUGGGACUGAGACACGGCCCAGACUCCUACGGGAGGCAGCAGUGGGGAAUAGUGGACAAUGGGCGAAAGCCUGAUCCAGCAAUGCCGCGUGAGUGAUGAAGGCCUUAGGGUUGUAAAGCUCUUUUAACCGGGAUGAUAAUGACAGUACCGGGAGAAUAAGCUCCGGCUAACUCCGUG